Molecule: long non-coding RNA, 268 nt
Filed under: Malus domestica (apple)
Lineage: Eukaryota; Viridiplantae; Streptophyta; Magnoliopsida; Rosales; Rosaceae
Description: long non-coding RNA (MDOM_LNC015399)
Source: RNAcentral
AGUAUGUGUUAUGUUGACUCAAGCGUGAGUAUAACUAGUCUCAAGUCAUUUGGUGUUGGACACUAAGACAAACACAUAGGUGCUCGAAAGAGUACUCGAGUACACUGAACUACGAUCAAAAGAGAGUUCGAACAUACAUGUCAUGUAUGAACUCUAAGGUUGCAAUAUGCAAAGUAGUCCUUUGACUUGAGGCAUCAUAGAUGUCUAAUGGUUAAGUCCUUGAUCUUUGAUCAUGUCAACGGCAUUCCUUCGGAGUGUCCACGGCAUU